UUUUUUCUCUCCUGCUUCCCUCAUCUGUUCUCUUCCAAAGAAGCUGGUCCUUAGCCUGUAUUGCGGAGCAAGCUUUCGGCGACCAGCUGGACCCUGGGCACCCUUCUUCGAACAAUGGCUUUUAAUUCUCAGACUAGAACGUUUAGGAUUACAAAAGAAACUGGUUCUUUUCACAUUCUUAUUCUUGUGAUGUAGCAUUCCGCAUAUAUAUAUAUAUAUAUAUAUAUAUAUAUAUAUAUAUGUAUCCAACUAUCCUAAAAGACACUACCCUUCAUCAUUCCAUGCCAUUAGACAUGUAUAGGACCAUGCAUGGUGAUCUCCUCCAGACAAAAGUAAAUGCUGGUGCAGAACAGGAUUUGAGUUUGAUGUCUUGCAUACAAUGUGAUCCCACUGUAUGACUACACAAAUGUUGGCAAAAGUGAGUUCAGAGGAAAUGGUAGGCAAGUACUUCCCAGUUUUGGCCAGAAGAUGGAGAAAAAAGAAUUCUCAAAAAAUGUUAAAGGUGUCUACAGAGAAAUAGACAAGUGAUGCACGACAGAUACAUGUGUCAGUCUGGUCCCUGCAGUUGUAUUUGUAAUAAUACACAUUGGAGCAAUUUCAUGGCCAUCGGUUAGAGAAUGUUUGAGGAAUGAUCCAUUCAUAUCAAGAAGGACAUUUCAAAGAUCAAAACCUGAUGGAAAUGCUGGAGACCAUGGCGCUGAUAGGAGCUCAUGCGUGUGGACCAAUUACUACGUGACAGGCAUU
Molecule: long non-coding RNA, 744 nt
Filed under: Homo sapiens (human)
Lineage: Eukaryota; Metazoa; Chordata; Mammalia; Primates; Hominidae
Description: non-protein coding LINC01719:22
Source: RNAcentral